UGCUCUGCCCUGAGGUCUGACUGCUGCCAUUAUGGGUACCCAAUAUCUGUACAUCAAGAGGCAUCUCUUUGCUGCAGUGGGAGAAGAAACCAGCAAAUGCGCCUGAAAAAGAAAAGGAAAGCUCGCAGGAAAAAGGCACCAUAAUACAGCCCUGAAAAGAAAAUGUGCAAACUUCUGAGAAUAUGCCCUCGUGUUGAAUACACCGGAUUUCUCUGCCGAGCAAAGGGGAAGGUUUUGUUCGUUUGGACAGUCUUUGAAUACUGUUCUAAAACUUCUUUCAAGUGGGGACUGAAGAGAGAAAUGUUAAGUUCUAAGGAGGAGACAAUACGUUAGCAUCUUUGAACGCAGCCCCUUGCAUGCAAAUCAGCCUUUUGGCAAUUUGGGGCACUUUAAUUGGAAGGUGGCAGCUCGGCAAGAUAAGGCUGCGUCCCUCGGAUCGCGGCGCUGCCCGGUGUGGGAUGGCAGUGAGGAGACCCCCACCCGGGUACCCCCCCCCACGGCCGAGCGGCGGCCCCCGAAAGGCCCCCGUUAAUACGGUCCGUCGGUUUAAAGUUUCUAUAAUUUUCACCUAAUGAUUUUUUUUUUCUUCUUCCCCUUAAUGCUCCCCCCGCCCCCAGGGGCACUGUGUCAGGCCGGGCCCAGCCAGCCCUGGAUGGCUUUUUCAUAGCUCUUGGCUGUGCGCAGACCCUUCUCGGGAUUAGUGGUCGGACUCCUCAUUUCCCAUAGCCAUAAAAGGUCUUGAACUCAA
This is a non-coding RNA of Coturnix japonica (Japanese quail), 748 nucleotides long. The record is from RefSeq and is a predicted model, not a curated record. NCBI's taxonomy places the organism in Eukaryota, Metazoa, Chordata, Aves, Galliformes, Phasianidae.